Molecule: RNase P RNA, 384 nt
Filed under: Thauera sp.
Lineage: Bacteria; Pseudomonadati; Pseudomonadota; Betaproteobacteria; Rhodocyclales; Zoogloeaceae
Description: RNase P RNA component class A
Rfam family: Bacterial RNase P class A
About the family: Ribonuclease P (RNase P) is a ubiquitous endoribonuclease, found in archaea, bacteria and eukarya as well as chloroplasts and mitochondria. Its best characterised activity is the generation of mature 5'-ends of tRNAs by cleaving the 5'-leader elements of precursor-tRNAs. Cellular RNase Ps are ribonucleoproteins.
Source: RNAcentral
GAAGUUCGCCAGGCAGUCGCUGCGCACCUCGUCGUGCGUGGAGGAAAGUCCGGGCCCCAUAGAGCAGGAUGCCGGCUAACGGCCGGGCGCCGCGAGGCGACGGAAAGUGCAACAGAGAGCAGACCGCCGAUGGCCUUCGCAAGAGGGAUCAGGUAAGGGUGAAACGGUGGGGUAAGAGCCCACCGCGGACGUGGUGACACGGACGGCACGGUAAACCCCAUCCGGGGCAAGGCCAAAUAGGGGAGUAAUGGCGUGGCUCGCGUCGCUCCCGGGUAGGCUGCUAGAGCUUCACGGUAACGUGUCGCCCAGAGGAAUGACUGCCCGACGGCAUCGGCUCGCGCCGGCGUCGUUCGACAGAACCCGGCUUAUCGGCGAACUUCCCCA